GAGAAAUUAUUUUAUUUAAAAAUAUUAAUCUGUCAGAUUUAAGUUACCACAUAGAGGUAUUUCUCU
Molecule: transfer RNA, 66 nt
Filed under: Calliopsida cinnabarina
Lineage: Eukaryota; Metazoa; Arthropoda; Insecta; Hemiptera; Cicadidae
Description: tRNA-Asp
Source: RNAcentral